This 254-nucleotide ribosomal RNA is filed under the name uncultured bacterium. RNAcentral's name for it is "partial 16S ribosomal RNA". It matches the Rfam family "Bacterial small subunit ribosomal RNA", at positions 524 to 776 of the family's 1533-position model. The record is from RNAcentral.
UACGGGGGGGGCAAGCGUUGUUCGGAAUUACUGGGCGUAAAGGGCUCGUAGGCGGCCAACUAAGUCAGACGUGAAAUCCCUCGGCUUAACCGGGGAACUGCGUCUGAUACUGGAUGGCUUGAGUUUGGGAGAGGGACGCGGAAUUCCAGGUGUAGCGGUGAAAUGCGUAGAUAUCUGGAGGAACACCGGUGGCGAAGGCGGCGUCCUGGACCAAUACUGACACUGAGUGAGCGAAAGCCAGGGGAGCAAACGGG